This 26952-nucleotide long non-coding RNA is filed under the name Oryza sativa (Asian cultivated rice). Its description in RNAcentral is "long non-coding RNA (OSAT_LNC001400)". The stretch from base 20390 to 20594 matches the Rfam family "MIR812 microRNA precursor family". The record is from RNAcentral. Lineage: Eukaryota; Viridiplantae; Streptophyta; Magnoliopsida; Poales; Poaceae.
UCAGGCUAGGUCCAGAUCCGGCGCGUCCUUAGUCGGGUCGGGGGUGGCAUGGAAUCCGGUCGUUGUGCAGGUGGUGUGCAUAGUGCAGAUAUCUUCGGUGUGCAGGUGAUAUUUGGUGGCUUCCGCUGUGGAUGCUAUGAUUGAGGGGGACUCCGAGGUGAAAGCCUUGCUCUAGCAACGGCGACGCCCUCGGGCGCCGUUCACCUUGUUGAAGGCGUUGCUAUUGGAGCCCUCGUUCAACGCCACUUCAAGGGGAUUCUCCGGGUGAAAACCUUAGACUCGUUAGGAUCGGACGAUAUCGUUGUUCUGUCGGUGUACACUACUACAAAGAUGGUUUUUGCAUACGGGCGAGAAGGGUUUUCACAUGCGGUUGCGCCAACCGCAUGCGCCAAAUUGUCUGCGAAGAUCGCGAUUUUUGCAUGCGGCCCGUAUCGAAGAUUAAAUUUUUCAAAUUUUAUUUUCGCAUACGGCUCCUUAAGACGCCCGCAUGGAAAAAUCGGGCGCUUAAGUGAGCCGCAUGUAAAAAUGAGGUCAUCUUUACAUGUGGACCUCUUAAGAGGCCCGUAUGGGAAAAUCGAUUUUUCCAUACGGGCGUCUUAAGGAGCCAUCUGCGAAAAUGCCGCUCGAUCUUUGUAGACGCCACUAGUUAUGGUCCGUUUGCAAAAAUUAAGGGGUCCCGUACAGAAAAAUCACUUUUGUAGCAGUGGUAACCUUCUUGAAGACUUCAUUUUAGAAGCUUUCUCCCUUGUUGGGUGUAACGCUCCGCUUUUCGUGAGACGUUAAAAACUAAUUCGGCAAAAAUCCUAAUUGCGAAAAUUUCGUUCCUUGAGUGUUGAGUCUGAGUUGUGCCAAAGAUCUCAAUUUAAAUCCCUCCCUUGUCUCGAUACCCUGUUAUCAAAGAUCGUCUCCUCAAAAUUACCAUCCCAAUGUAGUCCCGAAGCUCGAUUCCUUCUAUUCGGAAUCCCCUCCUGGAACCCCAUCCGUGAACUUUGUCGAAUGUCCGAACCCUUCUAUUCAGACUUCUCUCCAAAAUCCUUACCCACAUAUCUCGUUGAAUAGUCAAACUCAAACUCCCAAGUUACACUCUCUUUCUCUAAAUUAUCCAUCCCCUUUUGACUCGUCUCCGAAUAUUGUUCCCUUCCUUGACUCCUUCCUAUUCUCCCGAGACCGAGUAUCAACCUCGAAAUUCGAAUCUAGACUCCAACUCUAAAAUCUCCCAAUUAAAUCUCUCUGUGAAAGUCUAUUUAACCUCCCUCAUAGGUUGGAUUCCUUCUUUCUUUUUCCGAUCCACCUCUUCCUUCUCUUCCAUCCCAUCUCUCUCGGAGUCUCGAUCUAUCUAUCUAUCGAUCGAUCCAUCUAUCUAUCUACUAUACCUAUCUAUCUGUUUAUCUAUCCAUCUGUCAAUCCAUCUGUCUAUCCGUCCCUCUACCUAUCAACCUACCUUUCUGUCUAUCUAUCUAUCCAUGGCAUUCUACCGCUAUCUCCCUUGUUCCAUUUUUGAAUAAUGAUCUUCCCUUUUUGAAAUCCUCUGAAAUAAUCCUUCGUGCCGCCAAAUAUAAAUCCAUCCCAAGAAUACCAAAAUUCCCGCUUUUGAAGCCCUUCCUUGACCCCUCCCUUGGAUCCACCUUGAACCCUCGUGUACAAAUACACAAAUUAAAUUCAAAUUCAAUCUCCACAUCAAACUUCUCUCCAAAUCAAACCUUCCAGUAAAAGUCUAUUUUGCCUCCCUCCAACUCGCUCGGGCCGAAACCAUCCUCGGCCCAUCCUCUUCUUUCGCCAGCCUCUCCAUCGCACGUGCGCCGCACGUGACUCCCUCAGAGAGCGCCCCCUCUCUCUCUCUCUCUCUCUCUCUCUCUCUCUCUCGGCGUCGCUUCCCGCCGACGCCGCCCAAAAUUCCGGCUGCCUCCUUCGAUUCCCGCGCACCCGUGCGAGUGGCCGACCACCUGGGUGCCGCCAUCGCCACCCUCGGUCGUCGCCUGCCCCGACGACCACCGUGUCCGCGCUUGCCUUCAAACCGUCCCCGUCCUUUUGCAGUCGUCGCCGGCGUCAUCCUCCCGGGCCCGGCGCCCCAUGCCGCAUGCAUCCAAAACCGUGAGGCGCGGCUCGCUCUCAUCCCUUUCCUCCCAAACCGGAAGGAGCAAAGCUCCCUUUCCUCCUCCUCCUCCUUUCGCUUUUUCCCCUCCCGGGUAGCGAGCUCCCUGCCUCCACUCCUUGGCUUCUUGUUCAAAAGGCAGAGCCGCUGACGCCGCUGCAGCGCCUCGCCGCCCCCACCUUGACCGCACCCGCUCGCCCCGCGCCAAUCCUCCCGUGCUCGCGGUUCGAUUUCCACCACACGAUCCACCGCCUCCACCACCCUUUGCAUCCUCGCCGUAGCUCGUUCUCGCGGCGCCCAUGAACACCAGCCGAGCGCCGAGAAAACCGCGGCCACCUCGAACCGACCUUGCCGCUCCCACUCCGUCUCUAUAAAACCCACCCCCCGUGCUUCCUCCCUCCCUUGCUUCGUCCCCCCCCCAAUCGGCGGAGCCCUGCCGCCAUGGGAACUCCUCGCCGUCGCGUCGAGCUCUAUGUCCGGCGACAUCUCGCCGUCGCACGGUCCGUCCUCUGCCGCCUCCUCCCUCAACCUCGGUCGCCGUCGCGCGGCCAACCCCGGAGCGUCGCCGCCUUCUUGGUCGCCGCGGCCAAGAAUGCCACCGCCGCGACCAAGGGCGCCACCGCACGCCUCCGUUCCCUUCCCCGGCACGCCCGCCGUGACGCGAUGCCGCCUCGGCGUCGCGUUCGUCGCCGUGCGCCGCUGCUCGUCCAUGCGCCGCCAUCGGCCUUCCCAUCCUCAACUCGCCGCCGACGCCAUCACCUCCCGUCGGUGAGCUCCCCACCUCCCUUUUCCGCUGUCCCAGCACUCGCGUAGCUCGCGUCGCGCGUGCUCUGUUUCCGCCGCCGUGCGCAAUCGAGAGCCGCCGUUGGCCUCCCUCUCGGCGACUCCUCUAGCCACCGCCGUUCUUGAGUUCCCUCGCUACCUCCCCAAGCCGCUGUUUCAGCCGCCGGCCUCCCCUCUCGCCCUCGCGUCGCGUCGCCCGAUCCGCCGCUGCCGCGCUCGGCCACUUCCGCUGCGCCUCCCCUGCCGUCGGCCUCCCUCCUAUCCUUGAUUCCCGGCGCUGCCACCUUCCUCGGGCCCCCCUCGACCUCCCCAACCCCUCCCCCUGGCCGCCGACCUUCCUCCUCGCUCCCGCGCCGUGCCGCCCCUCCCGCCGCCGCAAGGCGCCGCCGCGAGCCACAGCCCGGCGACCGUCGGGUCCCGCGUCACCGCAUGUGCGCCGCAACCCCAUACCGCGUCCACUAAACCCGAGCGCGCGAGCCGCAUCCCUUCCCAUCGCGCAUCCACGUCGGCAUCCCGGCGAGCUUCGCCGCCGCCGCCGGCCGUCGUCACGCGUCGUCUCCCCAAUCCGAGCCGUGGAAUCGGUUCGCCUUGACCUCCUCUAGCCACCGGUGUUCGUCGCUCGCUUCGGCUCGCCGCCGUUCGCCGGAUUCCGCCGCGCGCCGUGAGCCGUCCGAUGCCAUUCCCGCCCCCCUUUUUCUCUCCCCAUCCGACGUGGCUGCCCACGUGGCAUUGACCGGGCCCGCCCCUGCCCAGUCAGCCGGUCAGUCGUCCCCCUCCCCCUCUCUCCCCUGGCUCGUGGGCUUGGCCCAUUGGCCAGCCUUCCUCCUCGGCCUAACAAAACAAAGGAAGUUUACCUUUACUCCCUCUUCCGAGUCCGGUGCUCACACACCGAAGAGCUAAAAGUCCGCAAUUGCUCCCUCCAAUUGCUCCUCUCUCUCUCUCACCUUCUUAUUGGCCCCACUCGUCAAUGAGUCAAAGAUAAUCUUGAGAAUGUCUUUCCAAUAUUCCACAAAUAAUUCUCUCUUCUAUAAAUUCAGUAAAUCAUUUUAUCUUAUUUCGUGGGUUAAUAAAUCUUUUUCCCUUGAUCCUAUAAAACAAUUCUCUAUUCCAAAAUUUCAUGAAUCAUUUUCCUUAUAAAUCAUUUCCUUUGGUCCCGCACGUCAGAGACGGUCAAUAAUAUUCUUGAGAAUAUUAUUUCUAUAAAUUUCAUGAAUCAAUCCCCCCUUGUUCCACAAAUAUCUUCCUUCGCCAGAAAUUCUAAUUAAACUUCCAAAAUUCGUAUCUCUCGAUCCAAUCGUCCGAUUGACCCCGUUCCACUUCCAGUAUUUCCAUAAAAUUGAGAUCUAUUUAAUGGCACUAUUAUUUAGUCUAAAUAGGGUCUUUUUCUUGGUCUCUUGUUUAGGUUUUUGUUUGUUUGAGCAUAGUUGCGGUUACCGGAUUUUCGUCGAUCGUGGAUAUCUUGAAGAUUCGUGAAGCUUCGUGAAGACCCUGAGCAAGGCAAGCCACCCUUGAACAUACUGAGCCUAUAUUUGAACUUAAUUAUAUUGCUUGCAAAAUAUUAUGCAUUGAUAGGAUUACACUUAAUUUGUUUGCCCCGUCUGAAAGGCAGACCGGUGGGCCUACCCAACUUGUUGCAUCUGAUCCUUCCAUUGUUAAUUGUUAUAUCAUGUUCCCUUGUAACCAUCUAGUUGCGCCUCGAUAUUCGUGCACUCUGUGCGAGUAUCAACGGUCGCCUUCAAACUUAAAAUCUGAGUAACUUCUUGGGUAAAACUUGGUUUGCAAAAGCUUUGGAAAACCCGACGCCUGGGUCGGUGCCUUGUGAAAGAAAAUGAGUUUUAAAAAUAAAACUCGCGACACAAGGCCAUUCCUGGGCGGAAUACUUGUGCGGUCGCAUCUAAGGACCGAUUCCUUUGGAAUUACAUCGGAGCAUACAAUAGUGCGACCACACGGGUGGAAUGGGACGCCCCUGGCUGAGUAAAUUGCUAAUCGGGGGAGCCUUGAUGCCGAGAGACAUGUGGAUUCGCCGGGGUGGUGUCGGGGAGGACCCCUGGGCUUCCUGGCACAGUAUGGUCUGGGACCUAACCUGUUGUUGGUCUGGGACCCCUCUCGUCGGCAUAUGGUAAACCUGUGUCGGCUUUCGAAAUGCCUUGUCAUGAAAGCCCUUAGGUCACCAGACGUGGCCAUUCUACACGGGCUGGGUGAUUCGGGUUAGUAAUGUCGUGUGGGUAAAGUGUACCCCCUCUGCAGAGGUUAACAAACUGUUCGAACAGCCGUGCCCACGGUCACGGGCGGAUGUGAGGUGAUUCCUUAGCGUAGUUUUUGUUUUACCCUGUUUUAUGAAAAGGUGUUAAGGUUUGGGAAACCUAAUGCUUGGGAAGCAUUUAGCUGUCCGGGGGACAGCGGGACCGGGUGUCCCUGGAAGUGAUUGGUCGUUUGGGGACCACUAUUAUCGGGAAGUUUGGAAAAUUGGUUUGGUUUGGGAAAAACCAGAUUUGAAGCCAACUCUGGGAGUUGUGCAAAUCUUGAUAAAUAAAUUUGUUCUUCUCACCUCCCGACCAAGCUGAGACUUGUCUCGCUCUGGUUGUGGAAAGCACACACUUAGAUUGUUGAAAACUUGAAAACAAAACUGUUUGCAAAAUAACAGCCUUCCCUUGAAGCCUGCAUUAACCACCUAAGUUCCCCUGGCUUGCUGAGUACGUAAGUACUCACCCUUGCUCUAUAUAAAUAUAUAUAUAGUUCCUCCGUCUUGAAGAAAAGAUGAAGUGAAGCGAAGAUUAGGGUUUCGUCCUGGAUCCCAGCCGUCGCCUGUGGUGUUGGGUGUUAGACCGUUGGUUCCGCUGCAGCUGCUGUUGUUGGUGUUCGCCUCGUCCGUGUCGUCGGUUGCAUUCUCGGGCUGUCUGAGCUGCAACCUAAGUUAAGGUAAAUAAGUCCUCUAUUUAUUCUAAGGAUUUGCAAUGAUUCAUAUUUGUCACCGUGGGUACCAGCACUAUGUCCUGGGACUGGUACCGAGUUCGCGGUUUCGUAGGAAGCGGUUCGCGCCGUUUUUCCUACGACACGCUCCUAUCAGGUGCCGUUGUGCGGCGGUGCCGGAUUGGGGUGUGACAGAGAUGGUAUCAGAGCAUUAGUUGGCCCUAGGAUCGAAACCCCUUAUUAGGAUGGCAUUAUUUGAGUACCAAAAAAAAAAAAACUAUUUGUGAAAGCUAAGGUGUCGUUGUCCCCUUUAGCUCUAGUUUUGCGAAAAAUCUUUUCGUGUCCAAAAGUAGAAGCUAGUCGAGUGUUUUGACCUUUAUCCUAGAGUAAACCUGUCUUCACGCCCAGUUGAAGAAAGGUGAGCUCAAGCCUCUAGGAGUCUUAGUUAAGCCCUCGUUGGUAGGCAGACCCUAGUACCGUCACCCGCUCGGUGGGAGUUGUGGUGAACUAGUGCGUGCGUGAGUUUUGUUUGGUAGUCCGUGUUCAGGUGUUAGACCAGUUGGGAUACCGACUGGAAUACACCACCUAUGUCUUCUGUGAUUUCGAAAACCGUUUUGAUGUAGUGUUUUUGUUUUCCUUCUUUUCUUAUCCCAUUUCUGGUUCAGUCAGAUCUCAGUCGCUCUGAAGCCAAUGGCACAUUGUUCUAUCCGUCAGAUCCGUGCCCCUAACCGCCCUGGUUCUAAAGAAGGGUCAGCUCAGUCAGAAAUUCCCGAUCAGCCAAUUAGCCUAGCAGAUGAGCAACAGAUUGAGAAGUGAUCAUGCAGUUGUUUCUGGAUCAACUAAUGAUGCCGCAGUACAGAAAUCAGCCCCCCAACAGUGGACUUUUGCCCACUCAUGGCCAUGCAAACCCAGAUAUUACAAGGAAUGAUUCAGAAUAUAGUUGUUAUGCAACGACAACACACGCAAGAGCAUCAACCCCAUAUGGUUCAAGAUAAUUGUCGGUCAAGACUGAACGAAUUCUUAAGAUCUCGCCCACCGGGGUUCUCCCAAACAACUGAGACCAUUGAAGCCAAUGACUGGAUCAAAGAUGUGGAAAGGAAAUUAAAUUUGGUGCAGUGCACUCCGUAGAAGAAAACCCUUUUAUGCCGUACAUCAGUUAAGAAGACAUACCACAAAUUGGUGGUAUAACUACUGUGCUACCCAUACAGAUGCUAGUACCAUCAUCUGGACAGAGUUUGCAGAAGCCUUUCGCUUAGCACACAUCCCUGAAAGCAUAAUUGAUUUGAAGAAGGAAGAAUUUGCAAAUAUCAAGCAAGGAUCCUCUUGCAUCAACGAGUAUUUGAGUCGCUUCAACGGAUUGGCUCGAUAUGCCCCGGAAGAUGUGGACACUGAUAAGAAGAAGAUCAAAAGGUUUCUAAAAGGAACGGAAGCGAAAUUGCGAGUGAAACCUUUAGCUCACGACUUUCCAACGUUUCAGCACAUGGUCAAUAAAGCCUUGUUACUAGAAGAUGCAGAAAAAGAAAUGCAGGACUACAAGAAGCACAAGGUAAUGUCCUUAGAGGAUCAAGCAAGAGAAGGUUUGCGUCAAGAGAUAGACCCGCCAGUGCAGUACUAUCAGGGAGAAUCUCAGUAUUCCAAUGGUUCUGAUUCUACGUCUCGUUCGACAAAGUCAAAAUCUAGUCAGCAAACCAUAGUGAUCAACAAUAAAAGCCUUGAAGGAAGCAAUUCCGUACCAUGCCCUCCACCUUGAAAAAGACGUGGUUAUAAGGCAUGAGUCGAAUGUUUCAUCUGCCAUGAGAUGAGACACUAUUCAUGGUACUGUGUCACGCCCUGAAGUUCCCCUCCCUUGCUCUAAAUUCAUAAAAUAAAUCGUCCGAAGAAAUUGUUUAAUUUAACCUAGAGAGAAACCCUAAAGUAAUAAAUGCAAAUAAUAAUCGGAAUCGGCAUGUGGAAUUUUUCUUGGAUUCUACAUGUCAAAAUAUGCUAACAGGAUUUUUAGUGGAAUUUUCAGAGCCCUAGAAAUAAUUUUAACCAAUUAAAAAUCACCAAAGUGCAAUUUUAAUUCCAGGAAAAAAAAUCCUUUUUCUUUUUCUUUUUCUUUUUUUUCUCUUUUUCCUCCUUUCUUUCGGAUGGGCCGCCGGCCCAUCUCCUCCUUUCCUCCCCCUCCUCCCUGCUGGGCCGGCCGCAGGCCGAGGCCCAGCCGGCCGCCCGCCUCCCUCCCUCCCGGGGUCGCCGACAGGUGGGGCCCACCUGUCGGACCCGUCUCCCACCUCCCGCCUCUCCCGCUCGCGCCGUCCCGCCGAAACCGCUGCCGCCGCACCCACUUCCUCCGCUUUCCCCGCGCCCACGCCACGUCGCCGCGCCCACGCCACGUCGCCGCCCUCUCCCCGCGUCUCCCGGCCGCGCCAGCGCACGAGAGGGGCGGGAUUCGAUUUUGAAUCUCCCCCCACCUUCUCUCUCUCCUCCCCCACGUCGCCGGCGAAAUCGGAGCGCCUCCCGGCCACGUCCGCCUAUAAAAUGCUCCCCAUGCCCUCCUCUCUCGUUUUCCGCUCUCACCGCUCCAUCCCGUGCCCCCUACCGAGCUCGCACCGCCGCCACUUACGCCGCCGCCCGUCGCCGCACUCCGGCCGUGUGCCGCCGUCGCUAGAGCCGCCGCCGCACUAAGCCACCGCCACCACUAGCUUCGCCGCCGCAAGACCCUUCCCGGCCGCUGCUCUGCGUCGCCGGAAUACCACCGAAACCCCAUUUCCCUCGCGUCGUCGGUGAGUUCUCUCUCCCCUCCGACUCCGGCCGGCGUGGAUGGUCGCCGUGGGGGUUUUCCUCCGCCCUAAUUCCUCUCCUCUCUUUCCCUAGGUGUCGCCGUCGCUCGUCCGCACCUCGGCAUCACCGGUCUUCGCCGCCUCCCUCGUUUUUCUCCGCCGGCCAUUGCCGCCCCUCCGGUGAGGUCUCCCUCCCCUUCCUUUCCUUCUUUUUUUUUUCCCCGUGCGCCGCCGCCCUCUUCGCGCGCUCGCCGUCGCUUUCGGUCGUCGCCGCUCGCGCCGCCGCCCGCCGCCCGCGCCGCCGCUCGCCGUCGCUGGCGGUCGCAUGCCCGCGCCGCCGCCUUGCCAUGGCCGCCCGGCCGGCUUGAUGCCGGGCCUGGCCGGUACAUCGGCUCGUGGAGCCGGAGCCGUGGGGCCCGCUUGCCAGCCGUGCCCCCCCCCUUGAGCCGCUGCCGAGUGGGCCCGUGUACCAGCGCCCUUCCCCUCUCUCUCCCCGUGCCGCUGACCGGUGGGCCCCGCUUGUCGGCGCCGCGCCACCCCGUGCUGACGUCAGCCCUGGAAUAUAUUGCGCAAUAAUUAAUUAAGGACUUUUUCUUUAUUAGUAAAAACACAGUGAAUCUUCUAAAAUUCAUAACUAAUUCAUCCGAGCUCCGAUUAAGUCCAUUCAAGUCUCAGUAAAUUCAUAAAAAUGUGUAGAAUCCAUUAAAAAUGGCUUUGUUAUCUGUUUCAGUAGUCUUAUAGCAUGUUUUGCUUGUGUGCUUUGUUUGUCGCGUAGAUUUCGGCCGUUUCGUCGAUCCGUGGUUUCUCGAAGACGUUGCUGUGGUUCCAUCAGUGCGAGAGCAAGGCAAGUCAUGCAAUACAAUUGAUCAUAUUGUACCUAAUUUACAAAUGUCCCGCAUUUCUAUUAAAUAUUGCAUUGUUUUACAAUAUCAUGUGGGAUGGGUCCUAUUACUCAGCUAUAUGUUGUUUUCCUUAUGCCAUUGAUAACUUGGGUAUUAAAAUGACUAGAUGUUGGUUUAGGAGAUGCUUAGCCAUGCUUAGUUCAACUAGUGCAUAAAAGGGGACCACAUUAAAGCAUAGACUUGAUUAUUGGCAAUAGCUCUGGAUUAGUGCCACCGCAAUGGUGUUGGCUAAUUAAAAUACACUACAUGGUGGGCUGUGGGUGCAUGGUUUUGCUAGACGUGCCCAUGGCGAUUAAGGACCGGUUCGCGGGAUGCCCUGGAAGAAUUUAUCGUACUUACCACAAGCCAGCGUGGGCAACGGCUGGGCUUGUAGUGUAGCUUUUCUCUAGCCGACGUACCCAGGCGAGGGUGGGCGUGAUGGAGUUGGGUCGGCCGGGGUGUCCGGUUGAUCGGCUGCCGGAUUCACCGCGGCACGAAAGGGGGGCUGCCCGUUGCCUGCUGGGGACGGGGGCGAACCCUAAGGUGUGGUGCGAUCGGUUAGAGGGGGUUAUACGAAGGGUCCUGUCACGGCCUCUUUCCGGUAUGUCGUGGUGGCAUGUCGGCGCACGGGAACGUGUCGUGGGGCUGUGUCUUGUGGGUACAGCUGUACACCUCUGAUCAGAGUAAAACUAUUCGAAUAGCCGUGCCCGCGGUUAUGGGCGGUCGACCAGAUUCACCGUGAUUAGUUUCACCCUAGUUAGCUUUUGGAACUGGUUAGUUCAGGUGGUGGUUUGGGCCUGUGGCAACGUGGUGUAACGUUGGACAGUGAUUGGUUAAUAUGGAUUAAUUACUACAACUGUUUUACUGCUUUCAACUACUGCUUUGAAAUGCCGGCUUUAUGCAAAAGAACCUUUAGCCUCCCUUGGAUAUAUCGUGCAUCAUACCUCCUCUUCCGGUAUGACUUGCUGAGUACAGUGGGUAGUACUCAGUCUUGCUCUCUUUUCCCCCACAUCAGAGUUGAAGUCCUUCUCAGUUGAAGAUGUCUCGGAGAGGUUGGUUUCGUCGCUGCCGUCAAGGUUUGCCUGUGGAAUGGAGUCGCCCGCUGCAGGAGUCAAGUCUUCAGGCUUAGCUCGCUUUUAUCUUUUUCCGCUGCAUUUGUAAUCUUUUAUAUUUUUGUAAGACGUGGAUCUGUAUGUCAACAAUUGUCGUUUGUGUACCCUGGCUGGUCCUGGACAGGGGUUUAAUGCACAUUCAGCUUAGAAAUUCUGGUUCGUGAAUUUCUGGGCGUGACAUACUGCCCUCAGAAAGUCAAGUCAAAGCAAGUUCAACCAACAACAAGCCUUCCCAACGUAUCUGGACCAAAAAGUUCAAAGCCACCAAACAGUGGUUCUGCCUCGUUGACCUCACCGCCUAUUGGACAAAGUCGUCUGAACCAUGUGCAAGUAGAAACAAAGGGAAAAGUUUUGAAUCUCGAGCAAGUUGAAAGAGCAGGUGAAGAACAGAUUCCACAUGCAAGAUCAGAGCCACAGUAAAAGGGAGACUGCUAAGUGAGUCAGAGUACCAGACCGUUUUGUGGCAAGUAUGCAGUCUCGAGAUAAAGAAAGACCCGCAGAGUAUGAAGCUAAGACGAAGUUUGAAGUUCCCCUUUUGGUUUCAUGUGUGUGGUCCACCUUCGAAUCUCGGGGUCGAGAUUCUUGUAAGGGGGGUGGAUCUGUAACGCUCCGCUUUUCGUGAGACGUUAAAAACUAAUUCGGCAAAAAUCCUAAUUGCGAAAAUUUCGUUCCUUGAGUGUUGAGUCUGAGUUGUGCCAAAGAUCUCAAUUUAAAUCCCUCCCUUGUCUCGAUACCCUGUUAUCAAAGAUCGUCUCCUCAAAAUUACCAUCCCAAUGUAGUCCCGAAGCUCGAUUCCUUCUAUUCGGAAUCCCCUCCUGGAACCCCAUCCGUGAACUUUGUCGAAUGUCCGAACCCUUCUAUUCAGACUUCUCUCCAAAAUCCUUACCCACAUAUCUCGUUGAAUAGUCAAACUCAAACUCCCAAGUUACACUCUCUUUCUCUAAAUUAUCCAUCCCCUUUUGACUCGUCUCCGAAUAUUGUUCCCUUCCUUGACUCCUUCCUAUUCUCCCGAGACCGAGUAUCAACCUCGAAAUUCGAAUCUAGACUCCAACUCUAAAAUCUCCCAAUUAAAUCUCUCUGUGAAAGUCUAUUUAACCUCCCUCAUAGGUUGGAUUCCUUCUUUCUUUUUCCGAUCCACCUCUUCCUUCUCUUCCAUCCCAUCUCUCUCGGAGUCUCGAUCUAUCUAUCUAUCGAUCGAUCCAUCUAUCUAUCUACUAUACCUAUCUAUCUGUUUAUCUAUCCAUCUGUCAAUCCAUCUGUCUAUCCGUCCCUCUACCUAUCAACCUACCUUUCUGUCUAUCUAUCUAUCUAUCCAUGGCAUUCUACCGCUAUCUCCCUUGUUCCAUUUUUGAAUAAUGAUCUUCCCUUUUUGAAAUCCUCUGAAAUAAUCCUUCGUGCCGCCAAAUAUAAAUCCAUCCCAAGAAUACCAAAAUUCCCGCUUUUGAAGCCCUUCCUUGACCCCUCCCUUGGAUCCACCUUGAACCCUCGUGUACAAAUACACAAAUUAAAUUCAAAUUCAAUCUCCACAUCAAACUUCUCUCCAAAUCAAACCUUCCAGUAAAAGUCUAUUUUGCCUCCCUCCAACUCGCUCGGGCCGAAACCAUCCUCGGCCCAUCCUCUUCUUUCGCCAGCCUCUCCAUCGCACGUGCGCCGCACGUGACUCCCUCAGAGAGCGCCCCCUCUCUCUCUCUCUCUCUCUCUCUCUCGGCGUCGCUUCCCGCCGACGCCGCCCAAAAUUCCGGCUGCCUCCUUCGAUUCCCGCGCACCCGUGCGAGUGGCCGACCGCCUGGGUGCCGCCAUCGCCACCCUCGGUCGUCGCCUGCCCCGAUGACCACCGUGUCCGCGCUUGCCUUCAAACCGUCCCCGUCCUUUUGCAGUCGUCGCCGGCGUCAUCCUCCCGGGCCCGGCGCCCCAUGCCGCAUGCAUCCAAAACCGUGAGGCGCGGCUCGCUCUCAUCCCUUUCCUCCCAAACCGGAAGGAGCAAAGCUCCCUUUCCUCCUCCUCCUCCUUUCGCUUUUUCCCCUCCCGGGUAGCGAGCUCCCUGCCUCCACUCCUUGGCUUCUUGUUCAAAAGGCAGAGCCGCUGACGCCGCUGCAGCGCCUCGCCGCCCCCACCUUGACCGCACCCGCUCGCCCCGCGCCAAUCCUCCCGUGCUCGCGGUUCGAUUUCCACCACACGAUCCACCGCCUCCACCACCCUUUGCAUCCUCGCCGUAGCUCGUUCUCGCGGCGCCCAUGAACACCAGCCGAGCGCCGAGAAAACCGCGGCCACCUCGAACCGACCUUGCCGCUCCUACUCCGUCUCUAUAAAACCCACCCCCCGUGCUUCCUCCCUCCCUUGCUUCGUUCCCCCCCCCCAAUCGGCGGAGCCCUGCCGCCAUGGGAACUCCUCGCCGUCGCGUCGAGCUCUAUGUCCGGCGACAUCUCGCCGUCGCACGGUCCGUCCUCUGCCGCCUCCUCCCUCAACCUCGGUCGCCGUCGCGCGGCCAACCCCGGAGCGUCGCCGCCUUCUUGGUCGCCGCGGCCAAGAAUGCCACCGCCGCGACCAAGGGCGCCACCGCACGCCUCCGUUCCCUUCCCCGGCACGCCCGCCGUGACGCGAUGCCGCCUCGGCGUCGCGUUCGUCGCCGUGCGCCGCUGCUCGUCCAUGCGCCGCCAUCGGCCUUCCCAUCCUCAACUCGCCGCCGACGCCAUCACCUCCCGUCGGUGAGCUCCCCACCUCCCUUUUCCGCUGUCCCAGCAAUCGCGUAGCUCGCGUCGCGCGUGCUCUGUUUCCGCCGCCGUGCGCAAUCGAGAGCCGCCGUUGGCCUCCCUCUCGGCGACUCCUCUAGCCACCGCCGUUCUUGAGUUCCCUCGCUACCUCCCCAAGCCGCUGUUUCAGCCGCCGGCCUCCCCUCUCGCCCUCGCGUCGCGUCGCCCGAUCCGCCGCUGCCGCGCUCGGCCACUUCCGCUGCGCCUCCCCUGCCGUCGGCCUCCCUCCUAUCCUUGAUUCCCGGCGCUGCCACCUUCCUCGGGCCCCCCUCGACCUCCCCAACCCCUCCCCCUGGCCGCCGACCUUCCUCCUCGCUCCCGCGCCGUGCCGCCCCUCCCGCCGCCGCAAGGCGCCGCCGCGAGCCACAGCCCGGCGACCGUCGGGUCCCGCGUCACCGCAUGUGCGCCGCAACCCCAUACCGCGUCCACUAAACCCGAGCGCGCGAGCCGCAUCCCUUCCCAUCGCGCAUCCACGUCGGCAUCCCGGCGAGCUUCGCCGCCGCCGCCGGCCGUCGUCACGCGUCGUCUCCCCAAUCCGAGCCGUGGAAUCGGUUCGCCUUGACCUCCUCUAGCCACCGGUGUUCGUCGCUCGCUUCGGCUCGCCGCCGUUCGCCGGAUUCCGCCGCGCGCCGUGAGCCGUCCGAUGCCAUUCCCGCCCCCCUUUUUCUCUCCCCAUCCGACGUGGCUGCCCACGUGGCAUUGACCGGGCCCGCCCCUGCCCAGUCAGCCGGUCAGUCGUCCCCCUCCCCCUCUCUCCCCUGGCUCGUGGGCUUGGCCCAUUGGCCAGCCUUCCUCCUCGGCCUAACAAAACAAAGGAAGUUUACCUUUACUCCCUCUUCCGAGUCCGGUGCUCACACACCGAAGAGCUAAAAGUCCGCAAUUGCUCCCUCCAAUUGCUCCUCUCUCUCUCUCACCUUCUUAUUGGCCCCACUCGUCAAUGAGUCAAAGAUAAUCUUGAGAAUGUCUUUCCAAUAUUCCACAAAUAAUUCUCUCUUCUAUAAAUUCAGUAAAUCAUUUUAUCUUAUUUCGUGGGUUAAUAAAUCUUUUUCCCUUGAUCCUAUAAAACAAUUCUCUAUUCCAAAAUUUCAUGAAUCAUUUUCCUUAUAAAUCAUUUCCUUUGGUCCCGCACGUCAGAGACGGUCAAUAAUAUUCUUGAGAAUAUUAUUUCUAUAAAUUUCAUGAAUCAAUCCCCCCUUGUUCCACAAAUAUCUUCCUUCGCCAGAAAUUCUAAUUAAACUUCCAAAAUUCGUAUCUCUCGAUCCAAUCGUCCGAUUGACCCCGUUCCACUUCCAGUAUUUCCAUAAAAUUGAGAUCUAUUUAAUGGCACUAUUAUUUAGUCUAAAUAGGGUCUUUUUCUUGGUCUCUUGUUUAGGUUUUUGUUUGUUUGAGCAUAGUUGCGGUUACCGGAUUUUCGUCGAUCGUGGAUAUCUUGAAGAUUCGUGAAGCUUCGUGAAGACCCUGAGCAAGGCAAGCCACCCUUGAACAUACUGAGCCUAUAUUUGAACUUAAUUAUAUUGCUUGCAAAAUAUUAUGCAUUGAUAGGAUUACACUUAAUUUGUUUGCCCCGUCUGAAAGGCAGACCGGUGGGCCUACCCAACUUGUUGCAUCUGAUCCUUCCAUUGUUAAUUGUUAUAUCAUGUUCCCUUGUAACCAUCUAGUUGCGCCUCGAUAUUCGUGCACUCUGUGCGAGUAUCAACGGUCGCCUUCAAACUUAAAAUCUGAGUAACUUCUUGGGUAAAACUUGGUUUGCAAAAGCUUUGGAAAACCCGACGCCUGGGUCGGUGCCUUGUGAAAGAAAAUGAGUUUUAAAAAUAAAACUCGCGACACAAGGCCAUUCCUGGGCGGAAUACUUGUGCGGUCGCAUCUAAGGACCGAUUCCUUUGGAAUUACAUCCGAGCAUACAAUAGUGCGACCACACGGGUGGAAUGGGACGCCCCUGGCUGAGUAAAUUGCUAAUCGGGGGAGCCUUGAUGCCGAGAGACAUGUGGAUUCGCCGGGGUGGUGUCGGGGAGGACCCCUGGGCUUCCUGGCACAGUAUGGUCUGGGACCUAACCUGUUGUUGGUCUGGGACCCCUCUCGUCGGCAUAUGGUAAACCUGUGUCGGCUUUCGAAAUGCCUUGUCAUGAAAGCCCUUAGGUCACCAGACGUGGCCAUUCUACACGGGCUGGGUGAUUCGGGUUAGUAAUGUCGUGUGGGUAAAGUGUACCCCCUCUGCAGAGGUUAACAAACUGUUCGAACAGCCGUGCCCACGGUCACGGGCGGAUGUGAGGUGAUUCCUUAGCGUAGUUUUUGUUUUACCCUGUUUUAUGAAAAGGUGUUAAGGUUUGGGAAACCUAAUGCUUGGGAAGCAUUUAGCUGUCCGGGGGACAGCGGGACCGGGUGUCCCUGGAAGUGAUUGGUCGUUUGGGGACCACUAUUAUCGGGAAGUUUGGAAAAUUGGUUUGGUUUGGGAAAAACCAGAUUUGAAGCCAACUCUGGGAGUUGUGCAAAUCUUGAUAAAUAAAUUUGUUCUUCUCACCUCCCGACCAAGCUGAGACUUGUCUCGCUCUGGUUGUGGAAAGCACACACUUAGAUUGUUGAAAACUUGAAAACAAAACUGUUUGCAAAAUAACAGCCUUCCCUUGAAGCCUGCAUUAACCACCUAAGUUCCCCUGGCUUGCUGAGUACGUAAGUACUCACCCUUGCUCUAUAUAAAUAUAUAUAUAGUUCCUCCGUCUUGAAGAAAAGAUGAAGUGAAGCGAAGAUUAGAGUUUCGUCCUGGAUCCCAGCCGUCGCCUGUGGUGUUGGGUGUUAGACCGUUGGUUCCGCUGCAGCUGCUGUUGUUGGUGUUCGCCUCGUCCGUGUCGUCGGUUGCAUUCUCGGGCUGUCUGAGCUGCAACCUAAGUUAAGGUAAAUAAGUCCUCUAUUUAUUCUAAGGAUUUGCAAUGAUUCAUAUUUGUCACCGUGGGUACCAGCACUAUGUCCUGGGACUGGUACCGAGUUCGCGGUUUCGUAGGAAGCGGUUCGCGCCGUUUUUCCUACGACACGCUCCUAUCAGGUGCCGUUGUGCGGCGGUGCCGGAUUGGGGUGUGACAGAGAUGGUGUAACAUCCCGGCCUAGGGCUUAAUAGGAUUAAUAGAAUACUCAUAUCAACAAGUUGCAACUUCUUUUCCGGAAGCCAAUCUCCAAAGAACUCCAGGGUUAAGCGUGCUUGGCCUGGAGCAAUUUGGGAUGGGUGACCGACCGGGAAAUUCUUCCCGGGUGCACAUGAGUGAGGACAAAGUGUGCAGAAAAGAUAUGUGUUGGUCUGUGAGGGCAGUCUAUGACCUAUGAAAGCUAUCAAAUGUAAGUGGGCCCGGCGAAAGCUAUCAAAUGUAAGUGGGCCCGGCCUGGGGGAAGGCGGGACGUUACAAAAUGGUAUCAGAGCCGACUCUCGCGGUUUCACGGGCGCGUGUGUCGCAGUUGCGCAGGCAUGGUGCGCAUGGCUGGUGUAGACCGGGAGUGGUUACACAGCAUGGCACAUGCGCUGGCACUGGACACAUGGACGUGGCCAAGAGAGGACGUUCCUGGCCUAGGGUUGAUCGACGGGGGCGUCGAUCUCUCUUAAGGGGGUGAGGGUGUAACAUCCCGGCCUAGGGCUUAAUAGGAUUAAUAGAAUACUCAUAUCAACAAGUUGCAACUUCUUUUCCGGAAGCCAAUCUCCAAAGAACUCCAGGGUUAAGCGUGCUUGGCCUGGAGCAAUUUGGGAUGGGUGACCGACCGGGAAAUUCUUCCCGGGUGCACAUGAGUGAGGACAAAGUGUGCAGAAAAGAUAUGUGUUGGUCUGUGAGGGCAGUCUAUGACCUAUGAAAGCUAUCAAAUAUAAGUGGGCCCGGCCUAGGGGAAGGCGGGACGGCCCGGCCUAGGGGAAGGCGGGACGUUACAUUGGGCGGGCAGUCUAUGACCUAUGAAAGCUAUCAAAUGUAAGUGGGCCCGGCCUGGGGGAGGGCGGGACGUUACAUUGGGCUGCUGUUCUUAGGAUCAGUAUGUUAAAGUCUAGGUUUUCGCCGGUUUUUCUUUAAUUAACCGUAUUGUUGUAAGGUUUUUAGAUCUGGUUUUCCUUAUAAACUAGAUCAACUCUCUUAUUCUAUGGUGAAUUGUACGAACUCCCUGCCUGUCCCCUCGAAAAAAAAACUUUAUCAUCUUAAUACUUCUAUAUGCUAUCUCAAUAUCUCAUAUGUGCUUAUAUAAAUAUGGUGUACGUAUAUGCGAGUGUUUUGCAGUUUUACUGUAUUUAUAUAUAGCAGGCAUCUAAUUCAUCAUAUAGUAUUAAAUUUCAAAAAUAUUAUGAGAACGCACGCGGCCGUACCAAUACCAUAUUAGCAUAUUAGAUGAGUCCACUAGCACUGUACUCCCUGUGCUGGUGGCCUUGCUAGUUGGUACUACGUUCCUGUCCUAAACUCAAUUAUCGGUGCCGUUGCCUUGUCCUGCUUGCAUUUGCAUGCAUGCUAAUUAAAGUGUUCGUUGCUGUUUCGUCGCAUGCACGUACAUGAUCAGGCUGUGUGGUGAAAUCAAACCAGAUUAGAGAGAGAUCACCGUGUCCGUCGUCAUCGGCGCGCGAUGCCGCCGAUGAGCAUGAGCUGGUGGUGGGCAGGCGCCAUCGGCGCCGCCAGGAAGCGCCACGACGGCGGCGGCGGCGAGCAGCAGCCGCCGUUCCGGAGCGUGGCGCUCGUGGUCGGCUCCACCGGCAUCGUCGGCACCUCCCUCGUCGACAUCCUCCCGCUCCCGGACACCCCCGGCGGGCCAUGGAAGGUGUACGCGCUGUCGCGCCGCCCGCCGCCGCCGUGGUCGCCGCCGCCGCCCGCCGCGGUGACGCACCUCUGCGUCGACCUCGCCGACGCCGCCGCCGUCGCCGAGGCGCUGGCGCCGCUAACCGACAUCACCCACGUCUUCUACGUCGCGUUGGCGGCUCCCCACCUCGCGGAGGCGCGGAGCCGCGAGGCGAACGCCGGCAUGCUCCGGAACGUGCUCGCCGCCGUCGUCCCGACCUGCCCGGCGCUCGCCCACGUCGCCCUCCAGACCGGGAGCAAGCACUACAUCGGCCCGCCGGAGUCCAUCGGCAAGCUCCCCGUCGAGACGCCCUUCUCCGAGGACAUGCCCCGCCACGACUACCCCAACUUCUACUACGACCAGGAGGACGUCCUCUUCGACGCGGUGACCUCCUCCUCCUCCUCCUCCUCCUCCCGCCGCGCCGCCGCCGUCACCUGGUCGGUGCACCGCCCGUCGCUCAUCUUCGGGUUCUCGCCGCGGAGCGCCAUGAACGUCGUGUGCAGCCUCUGCGUCUACGCCGCCAUCUGCCGCAAGGAGCGCCGAGAGCUGCGGUGGCCGGGCUCCCUCGGCGCGUGGGAAGGGUUCAGCAACGCGUCCGACGCCGACCUCGUCGCGGAGCAGCAGAUCUGGGCGGCCGUCGCCGACGCGGCGGCGAAGAACGAGGCGUUCAACUGCAGCAACGGCGACAUCUACAAGUGGAAGCAGCUGUGGCCGGUGCUCGCCGGGAAGUUCGGGGUGGAGUGGGCGGGGUACGAGGGGGAGGAGAGGAGGGUGGGGCUGACGGCGGCCAUGGCCGGGAAGGAGGCGGUGUGGGCGGAGAUCGUCGCGGAGGAGAAGCUGGUGGCGACGGAGCUCGGCGAGGUGGCCAACUGGUGGUUCGUCGACGCGCUGUUCAUGGACAAGUGGGAGUUCGUCGACACCAUGAACAAGAGCAAGGAGCACGGAUUCCUGGGGUUCCGGAACACGCUCAGGUCGUUCGAGGCGUGGAUCGACAAGAUGAAGCUUUACAGGAUUGUUCCUUGAUUAAUUUAUCUCAGGUUUCUCCUCAAUCUCUCGUGGAUUAAUAAUUAUACCAUUAGAUCCGUUAAAAUAUAAUAAUUUUUAGCUAUAAAUCUGAACAAAUAAAAUAUUUAUAUUUUAGGACGAAAGUACAUCGGUCUAAUACGGUGGCCUCGGGCAACCAAAGUAGUUUGUGGUGUUCUCUCUGGUCAUGCAUGGUCAAUGCUUCCAGGCUUCCAGCGUCAAAUCAUUUUGACCAAAAGGGGUUAAUGGUUUGUAAAACGUUUUGCUGUACAUUUGUCCAUUGAAUUUUCCUCGAAAAAUAUAUACUCCUUUUAAAAUAUUUCAAUGAUGAUGAUGAGUGGUGAAUCUGUUACCCUCCACUAUAGAUGGCCAAACGGGCGGCACGGCUCAGGCCCGGCCGUGCCUGGGCCGAGGUUAGUCGGGCUGGCACAGCUCCAGCCCAGGCAUGACCGUGCUCGGGUCAAAGAUUUAUUGGGCCGGCACGGUCUGACCAACAUACUGGGCCGUGUUGUGUUGACCCAUGUGUUGAAGCAUCGGUCCUGGCACGACCUAAUACAACUCGGGCCGUGUCGUGCCGGCCGGAAGGCACGAUAGCCCAUCGCGCUUCUUCAAAAAAAAGUCUAAUUUUCGUCCCUCAGUUCUUUAGGCCAUGUCUAAACGAUUAUGAUAAGUCUAUUUUGCAUCUCUUCACUCUUGGGCCGUGAAUUAUAUGGCUGCAUUAAGUAUAAUUUUAGUCCCUAAACUACUUUUCUUCCCUCCUCAUUGGAUUGGGCCGUGCCAGGCUGGCCCACCGUGCCAAGGCAUCGGUCCAGGCAGGGCCCAGCUAUCGGGUCAGGCCGGUCCGGACACGUCCCUAAUCGGGCCGUGUCUGGGUCGGGCCAAAUGGCCAGGCCAUUGGGCCUCGGGUGCUAUGGUCAUCUAUAUCUCUAGUCAUGAAUGGUCAAUGCUUCCAGCAUCAAAUAAUUUUGACCAAAGGGGUUAGUGCUUUGUAAAACGAUUUGCUGUACAUUUGUCGAAUGAAUUUCCCUCGAAAAAUCUAUACUCCUUUCAAAAGAUUUCGAUGAUGAUGAUGAUUUGUUAUCUCCCACUACCGCUUGGUGGCGGAUGAGCGGAUCCAUGGCCCGAUAAUCCUAGGCAGCUCUUUGGGCUUGCCGGCACGAUCACACCAUUAUAAUACCAUUAAUUUUCAGUGAUUAACAUGUAUAAUUGUUCACACUAUAUGUUUGUAGCAUAUAUAAAUUUAACCUUGUAUGUUUCUGAUGUGAUUUAACACAUACUACCUCCGUUUUUUAAUAGAUGACGCCGUUAACCUUUUCUCACAUGUUUGAUCAUUCAUUUUAUUCAAAGAAUUUACGUAAUUAUAAUUUAUUUUGUCAUGAGUUGUUUUAUCACUCAUAGUACUUUAAGUGUGAUUUAUAUCUUAUACAUUUGCAUAAAAUCUUUUGAAUAAGACGAAUGAUCAAACAUGUGAGUAAAAGUCAACGGCGUUAUCUAUUAAAAAAUAGAGGGGAGUAUUAAUCUAUCUCACUAUCUCGUUGAAUUCUAUCGUAAUUAUUUGGAUGAUAGGCAAACGUCGAGAGUUUGAAAUAGUUUUCCAUUAAUUUGUGUGGCAGCUCGCAAGAGAAGAAGAGAUAGUAAAACGCAACCGUACGUUCGGCCGCAUUCAAGCGACCGUACGUGUGGGCGACGAAGUCGGUCGCUCCUCCGUUUUCUUCUCUUCUCCGAAGUGUUUCGUGCGUGCACGUGACGUGUUUUCUGUGCCUUCCCACAAUAGUGUUCAAGCCUCCAUCUGAUUGCUCUGAAGUUUUGGGAGCCACACCAGGAUAGUGUGAACAUUUGAAUCAACGACACAUGUUUUUGUUUGUGCCGGCUCGAUCGCAGCCACAUCACGAAACAUAUCUACCCCCUCCGUAACAAAUUAAAUAAAUUUAUAAUAAAAUAGAACUUUUUAUAGUAUGAUAAAAGUUUUAGAUGUACAUUUGUUUAGAUCCGUUAUACUAGAAAAUAUCAUAUUCUAUUCAGGGUUGGUUUAUUUUUAUACGGAGGGAAUACUUAAACACGGUAUUGGUUUGACCGAUUGGAUGCGCAUGGUUAAUUAAGUAUUAACUAAUAUAAACUUGGAAAAAUGUUUUUUUAUAUUUGUAAACAACUUUUAUAUAUAAAGCUUUUCAAAAAAAAAUCAUGUCAUUAAGUGUCUUGGGAAAUAUGUCCAUAGUAAUCUAUUACAUCCGUUCUAAAAUAUAAGAAUUAAGGAUCAGAUAAUAUAUAUCAUAUUAUUACAAAUCUAGAUAUACUUCUUAUCCCAUCGGAUCAUAGGUUCUUAUAGUUUGGUAUGGAGGAAGUAUAUUAGCUAAUGAGUGAAAAAGAGCAUGGCCCUUAGACUGCACUACUGCAGUGGUGAUACGGAUCCAGCUCCUCUGACUUUGGGCUCGUACGUCAGAGGAGCCCAAUAUUUUGAGUCACAUACUACAAUAGAAAACAGUGUCUUGACUUAAUGCUAUAGCAACAGUGAAAUGCACUGUUUGAGGUUACUGUUUAGAUAUUACUAUGGCAUAGUGAUCGUUCACGUUCACUCGCGACGGCUGAAAAUAUCCAAGUUAGAGUACCGUACGCCUCUGACUUAAAACGCCGAGGAUCUCAUUCCGUGGUGAUACGUGGUGACAUAUUGAAAUCUGUGACCCUACCUCUUCCCACCAUAGCUUUUAUUGUUCUAUGAUAUAUAUCAAAUAUAAAUGUGUUGUCACGUAUACACAUGAUCAAAGUGAGCAAUCCUUCCAGCAAAGCAGGAAAUAACACAGCUGAGGCAAAACUAUAUUUUAUUUAUUUUUCCUCAUUAAAACGUACUAUGGUAUAUAUAUUUUGUAAGCAUGGGUAUUUAGUGAUUAUAGUAGUAGGUCGGUGCGCAGUUCAUCCGUAUCAGAGCAAUCCCAACCUCUUGGCGCAUUCGACGCUGCAGAUCAACGUCUCCUCCACCCCAUACUUGUACUUGAAACCUAAAUCCACAAGCUUAUUUGUAUCCGCUUGCACCCUCACGUCCUUGCCUACCACCCUAACAAAGAGACCACACAUAUAUAUGAUAUACAUUUAUAUAGCACAUCCUAUAUCUUCAUCCUAAAAUAUAAAAAAAAUUUAGCUAUAAAUAUAAACCAUACAUGUAUCCAGAUUUAUAGUUUAAAAUGCUUAUAUUUUAUAACGAAGCGAGUACAAUUUUAUCUAAAGAACGAAAAAUAACAAAUAAAUCACUGGUCAAAGACACGUACUCUUUGAGUUUUAUCGUGAUCUCUGGGUAUUUGGUGACGAAGUGAUCGACGUAAUCCUGCAUAUUGGGGUACCCAACGGCGCAGAGGAAGCGGCCGGCGAUGGACGGCUGCUCCGCGCAGAAGAUAUGCGCCUCGCAGAUGUCCUCGAUGUGUGCCAGUGGCACCGAACCUAUCAGGGCCUGCAAGAACUUGAGGGUGUUGUGGCAUGACUCGUCGCCGGUGAGCGGCGACACGAUCACCGGCACGCUGAGCGAGUGGUAGAGCUGGGUGGUGUCGGCGUCGCCGCCGACGAGCGCGCACGCCAGGGUGACCACCUCGAACGCCCUGCUCUCGGACUCGUUGUACCUUAGCAGCAGCUUCUCUGUGAGCGUCUUGGAUGAAGAAUAAUCCUAUAAAGCCAUUUGAAGUAUCAAAAAAAAAAACGUACUGCAUGUACCAUUGUUAAUUUGCUCUAUGGUAUCUAAUAAAUCACCAAUCAGAAGUCUGAGAAUUACUAACAUAUGUUGAAAUGCCAUUUUCACUCGGUUAAACGAAAGAAAUAUUCCUGACGAUGAUUGCGAAUUUGGGUGUACUGUUUAAUUGAUUGUACUAGUAUAAUGAUAUAUUAUGCUGUUGAAUUCUUUUAAUAUCUAUAUAGAUGAUAUAUAUACUCCUUCCAUCCUAAAAUAUACAUACUUUUAGAUCUAGUUUCUCAAUGCUAUAGAUAUGAAAUUAAAAGGGGUAGUUGGUAUUGAUUUAAUUAGAUGAGAAAGUUUGUAGAGAAAUCAAAUGAGGGAUUACUGUGAUUAGUUUAAACAUGAAAACAGACAGAGAAGCUAUAAUAUAUUUAAGAUAAAUUUUAAACUAUAUAAAUUUUAUAUUGAAGGAGAGAUAAAUUUUUAUAUUUGCUCAUUACUUUGUCAACAUGAAAUGCGUAGUUGAUUAAUUACAUACUUUCUCUGUUUCACAAUGUAAGUCAUUCUAGUAUUUUUCACAUUUAUAUUGAUGUAUAUAUGUCUAGAUUUAUUAACAUUAACAUAAAUAUGGGAAAUGCUAAAAUGGCUUACACUGUGAAACGGAGAUAGUACAUCCACCAUGGUGUUGUUGUAGCUGUGGGAGUGAUCGAGAGGAGUCCAGCAUGACUCGUUGAUGAAGUCCUUGUACCCCUCGCCGCCGUCCUCCCGGAGCGGCGACGCGGCGGUGACGGAGGCCGUGUGGAUGACGCGCCGCACCGUCUUUGACCGCUCGCAUUGCUGCAGGAUGAUGCGCAUCGCGUCCACCGCGGCUUCAGUGGUGUUCUUGUACUGCAAAACAAAACACAUGCGAAUCAACCUCUCAUCUUAAUUAUUGUCAUCUGGUAGUGUAAAGUUUAAUCUAAAACAGAGCACUCAAUAGUCCACUAUCCCUCUAUUCACAUUUACUAAAGCCAUCGAGACACUUGGUGCAGAGUCUGAAAGUCAUUAACUUUCAUUAUUACAAAAGUAAAUGAUCGAGAUUAUCAUUUUUAAGUAGCUGUGUAAUAUUUUUCUUCACCAGAAAGACCGAAAGACCGAAGGAGGCUAUCCGAAUAUAUUAAGAAGAAUAAAGUUACAACAAAAAAAUCCACGGAAGCAGUUGAGAUCGGAAGUACACCAAAGUGCACGACCAAGAACCACGUGCUAACCACACAAUCACAAACUAUUUAGAUCGAGGAACCUAGCACCAAAACGACCCUCCGCUAUGCGUGACCAAUCACCGUCGUGCCUACGACAACACCACCAAGACGAGACUCUGGAAACGAUACUCCCCCAUGGAAGGUCACGGCAUCAAAGACGUUGCUAUCUCGCCCAUGUAAAAAAGAUCCGGUAUGUGAUGAUUUCAUCUUUUCCACGAUAGCAUUCGAGGCUAGCAGCCGUGUGUACCUUGGUACUGCGAGGGUCGUGCUGCAGCGGGGUGGCGAGGAGGAAGACGAACUCGCAGCCGGCGAUGGCCGGCUCGAAGGUGUCGGCGUCGUACAUGUCCGCCUCGAACAGCACCAGCCGCUCCGCCGCGCCAGGGAGCUCUCUCAACGGCGCCGUCUUCUUCUCAUCUCCUAUCAAAUCACGUAGCCAUGAAAAUUUGUAUUACCUCCAUAUUUCAUAUUUUAAUGUAUGACGCCGUUGACUUUUUAUCUAACGUUCGACCAUUCGUCUUAUUCAAAAAAUUUAUGUAAUUAUGAUUUAUUUUAUUGUGACUUGAUUCAUCAUCAAAUGUUCUUUAAGCAUAACAUAAAUAUUUUUCAUAUUUGCACAAAAAUCUAUUAUAUUAUUAAAGGAAUAGAAAAAGGAGCCUCCACGUUCGCUCUCACGGCCUAGAAAUUCUCACAUUAAUCGGAGAAAAAGAAAAAACAGAGUCUAUAUAGAAAUACAAUUUAGAAAUAGCUGAAAUUCGGAAUCAAAAAAUAAGGAAUAUUAGAAGAGGAGACUAGAGUCCAUAUAAAAAUACAAUUUAUAAAUAACUGAAAUUCGGAAUUAAAAAAUAAGGAAUAUUAGAAGAUGAGACUAGAGUCCAUAUAGAAAUAUAAUUAGGAAAUAACUGAAAUUCGGAAUUAAAAAAUAAGGAAUAUUAGAAGUAGAGUAUAGAGUCCAUGUAGAAAUACAAUUAGGAAAUAACUAUAUAAUUAGAAAAUAACUGAAAUUCGGAAUUAAAAAUAAGAAAUAUUAGAAGUAGAGUAUAGUCCAUAUAGAAAUACAAUUAGGAAAUAAUUGAAAUUCAGAAUUAAAAAUAAGGAAUAUUAGAAGUAAAGUAUAGAGUCCAUAUAGAAAUACAAUUAAGAAAAAAAUAAAUUCGAAAUUAAAAAAAUAAGGAAUAUUAGAAGUAGAGUAUAGAGUCCAUAUAGGAAUUUAAAACUAACUAAAAUUUGGAAUAAACAUAAUGAAAUUAAAAGUAGAGUUUAGAGUCCGUAUAAAAAUACAAUUUACAAAUAACUAAAAUUCGAAAUUAAGAAAAAUAUGGGAAGAAGAGUUUAAAGUCAAUAUAGGAAUACAAUUUAGACGUAACUGAAAUUCGAAAUUAAAAAUUAAAGAAUAUUGAAAGAUGAGUUUAGAGUCCACAUAGAAAUACAAUUAGAAAUAAUAAAAAUUUAGAAAUAAAAAUAAAUAAUAUUGGAAGAAGAUCAUAGAGUCUAUAUAGAAAUACAAUUUACAGAAAAUUCGGAAUUAAAAUAAUAUAUUAAAAGACGAGUAUAGAGUCUAUAUAUGAAUAUAUAUAAUUUACAAAUAACUAAAAUUUGAUAUUAAAAAUAAUUAAUAACUAACAAGUAUAUAAAAUACAAUAUGAAUAUUACACAUUAGUAGUUUUGUAAAGUUAUUGCAAAAUUUAAAAUUAUGUUGUCAUUUUAAUAUAUUUAAAUAAUAUAAUGAGAAAAUAUAUAUACUAUUAUAUGAUAGAAAAUAUAAUGAUGCUAGCCGCGCAAUCUGCGCAGGCCACCAUGUUAGUUUAUUAUACUGUGAUAUAUUACAUCAUCCAAAAUCACUUAUAUUAUGUUGUACAUAUGUUCUUAAUGACAUAGAAAUCAAUGUUGAAAAAUAAAAUACCAUGAAAAACUUAAAAAUCAAUUUUAAAAUUCAAAAUAUGAUUGGAAUGACAAGAUGAAGAGCAAACGAUAAAAUAAGCCCUUAUCGCGCUCUUUUUAUGCGGAAUGGUUAAAUACAUGAAUAAUUUGAGAUAAUUGUUUGAAGAUUAAAAAAAACUUAAUGCAUUAACUAUUAUAAAAGUUGAAAGAAAAGAAUGUAAAACAUUUUUUUAAAGAAUUCAUAUAUAGUUUUUUUUAAAAAAUACCAUUUAGAAGUUCGAUAAAGAAUGUGUGUUUGUUGAUUAUUCCACUAGGAAAAAAAGGAGACAGUAAAUCAACACGUGAUUUCUUUUUUGUUAGCCAAAUGAUUUCUACGUUAUAGUAUUGCAAAGACUUCUAAAAGGGUUAAAAAAAGGCCUUUGCUAGUUUUGUAUAAAACGAAUGAACAAACGUUGUUCAAAAAGUCAACGGCGUCAUACAUUAAAAUACGGAGGGAGUAAAUUGUGUUGGUUUUAUGCUUGCAGAUGGCUACAAGAUUUUUGGAAAAUAUAGAGGUGAUCUAGCUAGAGAAUAGUAGAGAUCAUUGGGGAGAGUAUACCGAGAUUUCUCAAGGUCGCAUGCACGACGCAGCCUCGCUGCAGCAGCUUCUUGAUGAGGCACGUCGCGAUGUAGCCGCUGGCUCCUGUGACGCACACCCUGCUGCUGCUGCUGCUCGUCAUCGCUUCUGCUUCUCGUUCUGUUCCUUCAGAUCAGAUGCGUUUGGUUUCUAUGGCCCUCUCUCAACCUGUUUAAAUAAUGCAAAUAACGUACAAGACUGAACUUAGUGUCAGUGUCAGUUGUUUGGGAAACAAAAUCUACUUCGGCUGCGUUCUUUUCAGCAAAGUCCUCCUCGUUUUCCGUUAGCACGCUUUUCAAACUACUAAACGGUGCAUUUUUCUGUAAAAAGUUUCUAUACGAAAGUUACUUAAAAAAAUCAUAUUAGUCCAUUUUUUUUAAAAAGAAUAGCAGAUACUUAAUUAAUCAUGUGCUAAUGGAUCGCUCCGUUUUCCGUAAUCACUGUUCAUAAGAAGAAAGAACGCAGCC